RNAcentral lists this ribosomal RNA (868 nucleotides) under uncultured archaeon. Its description in RNAcentral is "bacterial SSU rRNA". It matches the Rfam family "Archaeal small subunit ribosomal RNA", at positions 1 to 878 of the family's 1478-position model. The record is from RNAcentral.
CUCCGGUUGAUCCCGCCGGACCCGACUGCUAUCAGAGUGGGACUAAGCCAUGCGAGUCAACGUAGCAAUACGUGGCAUACGGCUCAGUAACACGUAGUCAACAUGCCCAGGGGACGAGGAUAACCUCGGGAAACUGAGGAUAAACCUCGAUAGGCCAUGAUUUCUGGAAUGAUUCUUGGCUCAAACCUAUAUGGCCCCUGGAUUGGACUGCGGCCGAUCAGGCUGUUGGUGAGGUAAUGGCCCACCAAACCUAUUACCGGUACGGGCUCUGAGAGGAGGAGCCCGGAGAUGGGCACUGAGACAAGGGCCCAGGCCCUAUGGGGCGCAGCAGGCGCGAAACCUCUGCAAUAGGCGAAAGCUUGACAGGGUUACUCUGAGUGAUUUCCGCUAAGGGAAUCUUUUGGCACCUCUAAAAAUGGUGCAGAAUAAGGGGUGGGCAAGUCUGGUGUCAGCCGCCGCGGUAAUACCAGCACCCCGAGUGGUCGGGACGAUUAUUGGGCCUAAAGCAUCCGUAGCCGGUCCUGCAAGUCUUCCGUUAAAUCCAGCUGCUCAACAGAUGGGCUGCGGGAGAUACUACAGGGCUAGGAGGCGGGAGAGGCAAGCGGUACUUUAUGGGUAGGGGUAAAAUCCGCUGAUCCAUAGAAGACCACCAGUGGCGAAGGCGGCUUGCCAGAACGCGCUCGACGGUGAGGGAUGAAAGCUGGGGGAGCAAACCGGAUUAGAUACCCGGGUAGUCCCAGCUGUAAACGAUGCAGACUCGGUGAUGGGUUGGCCUCGCGCCUGCCCAGUGCCGCAGGGAAGCCGUUAAGUCUGCCGCCUGGGGAGUACGGUCGCAAGACUGAAACUUAAAGGAAAUGGCGGGGGAGCA